Molecule: non-coding RNA, 875 nt
Organism: Drosophila suzukii
Lineage: Eukaryota; Metazoa; Arthropoda; Insecta; Diptera; Drosophilidae
Source: RefSeq, a predicted model, not a curated record
CGUAUUAGUAUUCAAUUGACAAGUGUCGUGUAAGGAGCACAAAAUUUUAGUUUUACAAAAAAAAAAAACAAAAAAAAUAUGGACGGAAAAAAGAGCGGAAUGGCAACAUGUAAACCAAUUCACAAGUUCCAGAAAGAAGCGAAUAUUACAAUCAAUGGCUACCUCAACUUCCUAAACGAUUACAUAAAAAGAUUUUGCGAAAUUUCCCCACAGAACGUGAUUUGUUUCGCAGCUAGAGAAUGGAACAACUUGCCCCUCCAAGAAAAGGAUCGCUUCAAAAACAUGCGAUUUUGCGGAAUUUCCCCACAGGACUUGAUACGUUUUGGAGCUAGACUCUAACACACCAAUUAUUAACAUAGCUAGCUGCUAGAGAAUGGAACAAGUUGCCCCUCCAGGAAAAGGAACACUUCAAAAAGAUGAAGCAAUCUCAAGUGUUUGGGAGUAAGUCCCAUGGGGACAGCCCCGAUAAAUCUGAGCGGGAGAAACAUAGUCCAGUUCGCUCUCCGUAUUCCCGUGAGAGGGAGUCCAGGAAAAGAAAGGAAAGGAAGCCUUCCAAAUCAGUCAAGAACCAGAUCAAGAAAAAAGCCGGAUCGCCUUUUUUUCUGCCAAAGAAACGCUGGCCAACUUCUUUGGCCAACGCAGGUGGUUGUAUAACGUUUAUGCGCAGGUUUAAAAGGAUGAAUAAGGACAUGGCUCCCAAUGAUCUGUUGAAAAAGGCAACUCGAAUUUGGCGCCGUCUACAUAGAAGCCAGCGCAAGCCAUUGGAGAACCCACUUUGAAUUUUGAGGACUGGAUAGGAAACACUUUUAAGCUUUAGCCGUAAUUCCAAGGAGCCCGGGAGUUCAUACAAUUUUAAAAUAAAAAGAAAGCACAAA